UGGGCAAUGGCGGGCGCCCCUCCCCCCGCCUCGCUGCCGCCUUGCAGUUUGAUCUCAGACUGCUGUGCUAGCAAUCAGCGAGACUCCGUGGGCGUAGGACCCUCCGAGCCAGAGAUGGGAUCUUACUACAUUGCCCAGGCUGAAGUGCAGUGGCUAUUAACAGCUGUAAUCAUAAUGCAUUGCAGCUUUGAAUUCCUGGGCUUGAGCGACCUCCCCACCUUAGCCUCCUGAGUAGCUGAGACUACAGGAAAUAAACUUAAGGAGAAAGAAGAAACAAAGAUGGGGCGGAAAUGUAAGAGAGGCAUUCUAAUAUAUGCAUUCUUCAUAACAACUGUGUGAAACAUAUUAAUAUCCUCAUUGUUAACGAUGAAGAAACUAAAUCUCAGGAAGAAAAACUAAGUGAAGACAAAAGAAGGAUUUGAACUGAGAUUAUUCUGGGAGAUUCUGGGAGUCUUUUCUCCAACACUCCAGUGGCAUCUGACUAUGUGAGCUGAUAAGAUCUAUAGAUCUUCUCAGGUAUGUCUUCAUCAGCAGCAUGAAAAUAGACUAAUACAGUAAAUUGGUAUCAGUAGAAUGGGGUGCUGUGGAAAAGAUACCUGAAAAUGUGGAAGCAACAUUGGAACUGGGUAACAGGCAGAGGUUGGAACAGUUUGGAGGAUUCAGAAGAAGAGAGGAAAAUGUGG
This 683-nucleotide long non-coding RNA is filed under the name Homo sapiens (human). Its description in RNAcentral is "PREDICTED lncRNA (TCONS_00197471)". The record is from RNAcentral. Lineage: Eukaryota; Metazoa; Chordata; Mammalia; Primates; Hominidae.